Long non-coding RNA from Lytechinus variegatus (green sea urchin), 378 nucleotides. RefSeq lists it as uncharacterized. The transcript has 3 exons. Lineage: Eukaryota; Metazoa; Echinodermata; Echinoidea; Temnopleuroida; Toxopneustidae. The record is from RefSeq and is a predicted model, not a curated record.
GCGCAUGGAGUUGUGGAACGGCAUCUGAGUCUCCGGAAGUCUUCCUCUUCAGAAGCCCCAAGUGCUCGGAAGACUAUUGGGAGGAAGGGAGGUAUCCUCAGCAUCAAAGGCAAUGGGGUCGCACUGAACGUACCCCAAGGCGCUCUUCUAGGUAAUGAAGACAUCAAACUGCAGCUUCUUGGAGAGGAACUGCCAGAAGAAUUCACGUCAAAGGAUGAGGUGUCACUCUGUCCUGCUAUCCGGUGUUUUCCUUCCGGUCAGACCUUUUCUCAACCAGUACAGCUCAUACUCACACACUGCGCCGAGCUGACUGGACAGGUUCUGUCUGGAGAGGGCAGCCUUUUGCUUUACUCCCGACAGGCAGAUUCGUUCGACGAU